GCCCUUUCUCACCACGGGUCCGAAGGUGGCAGGGGUGAGAAAGACAGGGGGGGGCUUCACAACAGCUGCAGCCUUGCACCCAGUACAAGGGACGCUGUCCAAGGUCUUCUCCCCGCCCUCAGGUACCCAGGCCACAGAGGGACUCUUGAGGCCGGCAGUAGAAGGAAGGAGGAUGGAUGGGGGAAAGCGAGAAGAAAAGCCGGAGAAUGGGACGUGGAGGAUGGAGGAGAGAAAAAGGUGGUGGGGACCAAGGAGUCAGGAAGGGGAGAAUGAGGGAAUUGGAAGCUCCUAGGGCCGAGGCCGGAGCCGGGGCUGGAGGGGCCCUUACUUUGCUCUUCACCUCGACGAUGCUGUCGGGACUGCGUGCUGGAGUCCUCUGCGGCCUGGCCAUGGCGGGGCCAGGCGGACCGGGGAUGAUGCCCCAGGCGGACCGCCGAGGCGCAGGUGCACAGCCCGGCCGGCCCGCGCCGCCCCGCCCCUGGCGGUAGCACUCGCCCCGCCCCCCUGUCCGGACCGUGACGUCAAGAGGGCAGCGACGGUGAGUUGAACGCGGAGUCCACGUUUCCUAGGAAACGGAGAUAAGGGUGGGAGAAUCUUUGCGUCCUUCUACGUCAUUACGCUACGGUCCCCGCGUCCCGGGAAUCUGGGGGAGGGGCUUGGCCAAUCCGAGGGGGGAGAGAGGGAAGUAUUUGUUGAAUGCUGUGUACUUUUUUGUAAUUUAUCAUGUUAAUCUUUUUUAAAAUUAAUUAUUUUUUUGGCUGUGUUGGGUCUUUGUUGCUGGGCGCGGGUUUUUUUCUAGUUGCCGCAAGCGGGGGCUACUCUUUCGUCGCAGUGGGCAGGCUUCCCAUUGCGGUGGCUUCUCUUGUUGUGGAGCACGGGCUCCAGUGGUUGUGGCACGCGGGCUCAGUAGUUGUGGCUCACGGGCUCUAGAGCGCAGUCUCAGUAGUUGUGGCGCACGGGCUCAGUUGCUCAGCGGCAUGUAGGAUCCCGGACCAGGUUUCGAACCCGUGUUCCCUGCAUUGGCAGGCGGAUUCUUAACCACUGCGCCACCAGGGAAGCGUGAAUGCUAUGUACUUUUAUUUCCACUGGCCUAACAAGACUGCGCAUUUUGUAGAUGAGGAAACUGAGUCACAACAAAUAAUUGCUGAACUCCUUGGGGUCACAGGCGUUGAAGUGGCUUUGAGCCACCCACUCGGACCACCCUUGGCUGCAGCCUCAGGCCCCAGAUCCUUCCCACUCCAUCGGAGCCAGCCCUUGGCCCCUUCCUGCCCAGUGCCACAGGAGUCUUGAAGAACGGCGCAAACGCCCGGUCGCUGCUUGGAGAGAUGCUCGGGUAAGAGUAAGCAGGACAGCAUACAGUUGAACCAACACGGGUCUGCAAACAAGUUCCCGAAUAGGACGCGCUCGUGCGCACGCGCGGGCACGCUCAUGGGCGGGACCUCGACCUCAGGUCCCGCCCAGCCGCCGUACGUUUCCUCUUCCGAGGAGAGGCGGGGCCGUAGCGCCCGCGGGAAACGCGGUACCGGUUUGCUCGGCUGGCAACAGCCGCGGGAAUGGCAAGCUUGGGGAGUUUGGUCCUGCGGCCUUGGAUUCGAGAGCUGGUUCUAGGGUCAGAGGCACUCUCAAGCCCGCGGGCGGGGCAGCUGCUCAAGGUACUGCAGGAGGCCGAGGCCCCGGGCCCGUCCCGCGCUCCCGACACGUCUGAAGGGGCCACGCUACUUGUGUCCGACGGGACCCACAGUAUUCGAUGCUUGGUGACGCGGGAGGCUCUGAACGCCUCGGACUGGGAGGAGAAGGAGUUCGGUUUUCGAGGGGCAGAAGGCCGGCUGCUGCUACUGCAAAACUGCGGGGUCCGCGUCCAAGUCGCCGAGGCAGGCGCGCACGCGGAGUUCUACCUCCAGGUGGACCGCUUCAGCCUGCUGCCCACGGAGCAGCCCCGGGAACGGGUGACUGGUUGCAACCAGGACCCGGAUGUGCGGAAAAAGCUCUAUGACUGCUUGCAGGAGCACCUUUCAGAGUCCACCUCCCCCAGUGCAGGCCUUUCACUGUCCCAACUUCUGGAUGAGGUAGAGGAGGACCAGGAGCAUCGGGGGGCGCUAGUGAGCCUGGCUGAGAGCUGUCUGAUGCUGGCAGGCCCUUGCACAGCACCCCCCCUCACCCGCUGGGCGGCCUCACGCUGCAGAGCCACGGGAGAAGCUGUGUACUCUGUCCCCAGCCUAUGGCUGCACAUCUCUGAGAAUGACCAGCAAAUCCUGAGCUCUCUGGGCCCAGGCCAGAGGGCACAGGGCCCUGAGCUACCCCCACCACACCCGGCUCUACAGGACCUAUCGCUGACUCUCAUCUCCUCUCCUCCUUCCUCACCCAGUUCCUCAGGAGCCCCUGCCCUACCCAGCCACAUGCUGUCAGAGGAAAGUGGUGCCAGUAUCAGCCUUCUACCUGCCUUGCCCUUGGCUGCUGCAGACCCAGCGCAGAAGGGCAGCUCCCAGCCCCUGUCAGCCAUCUGCUCAGCCCAUGGCCCCCUGCCCCCCAGUUCUCCACGCCCCAGCCAUGUACCCAACUCCCCACCCCUGAGCUGCACCCCAAGUCUGUCACCCCUUGGCCAUGCCCCCAGUCUACACCAAGCCCCUGUAACCAUGGCCCAGAGACCUAGUCUGGAGUUCAAGAAGCUAGAGUUACCCCCUAAGACUCGGCAGCCCUCUCCAAGGACAAGAACCACCAAGGAAGCCCUGGAGUCCAGCUCUGUCUGGACACAAUACCCGCCCCCUUCAGGACCCCGCAAAGACGCAUCGUGACGGUUCUGCCUUCCAAUAUGAGUAUGAGCCACCCUGCCCCUCCCUGUGUGCCCAGGUCCAAGCUGCCAGGCUCCCUCCCCACCUUGUGGCCUGGGCCUUGCACUUUCUGAUGGAGCCACAGCCAGAGGCUGAACUAACCCAGGUGUGAGGGGUCAUGAGCACGUGGGAGGAUGCGUGCACGGGUCCGUGCCUGGGGGUGGAUAAACAGGGCUUCACACCAGCUUCCUUUAAGUUUUUUAAUAAAAUAAUCUCAUGCGGCAGGAAAGGAGAAGGUCAGGGGUUGGGGCCGCCGCCUCUUUGGUCUGUGGCUGGGGAUGGUGGGCUCCGCUCAGGGUCUGAGGGCUCUGUAGACUGUGGGGGUAUAGGCUCGGCUCCGAGGCCAGAUCCUGCACAGGGAGAGAGGAAGGGUCAGGACUGGAGUGAGCAGGCCUGCCGCCCACCCAACUGGCUCCAGCCCCCUUUACCUAUGCUUGGAGAUGGAGGUGCCUCAAGCUUUGGCCUGCGCUUGAGGACAGGGGAGCGCUGCAGCCGCCGGGGCCGUUCUGAGGGAUACAGAAAGACUUGGGGAGGGUUGCUAAGGGCUUGCUGCCUGUCCUCGACCCCCACGCACACUUGCCUUCAGAGCCUCCCCCUUCCCCAGCAUCCUCCCACCCCUGGCAGAGGUUGCUUUUGUGGAGGUAGAGCCAGGGCUAGUAGGAAGGGCUUCUCAGACCCUUGCUCCUGGCCUCUGGCUCCCUGAUUUCUCAACCCCUCACGCCACUGGUGGCCCCCUCCGAGGACCAGAGCCUCGAAGGGAGCCCCCCCUCCCCCAUCUCCUCCUGCACUCAAGCACACAUGGAGGUGUCUCCCCUCACCAACAGGGGCCUGGAGCUGGUCCUCAUGCACAGACACUGCUCGUCGACCCGCCAAGAGAGGCCUCGGCCUCAGCUGGCCAUCUGGGGGAGGCCAGGGUAUCAGGGUAUGGUCCCAACAGCUGCCCCCGCUCCAGCCCUUGCCUCCCACCUUCAGGGUCUCCAGAGGAGCUGAGUUCCCAGCAGGGACUCCUCCAGGCCCUAGCCCAGUAUUGGGUGGGGGUUAGGGUACCUGCUUACCUUCAUUCCUGGAGCCUAAGCAAGAAUCCUCUGGGAGGCCCAGGCUGUCUGGGGAGGGGCUGGCUCUUCGGAGGCUUGGGCUGGGACAAGGGGAGGGGGGGCCUGGACCAUCCUGUUGACCCCAGCCACGGCCCCUGAGCUCUGCAUUCAGCUGCUGCCCUAGUGUCUUCCAGGUGGCAGACUCGGGCCCCUGGCCCCCUGGACCAGGUCUGCAUGAAGGGUCUGCAGGGAGAAAGGUGUCAGCCAAGACCUGGGCCAGGCGUCGGAAGUGAACCUGACCAAUGGUUUGAUCCCCUCCAGCCUGUCCCUGCAUGACCCCGCAUGACCCCCAACAUAUACAGUGGCCCUCACUCACCAGCAGACACAGAGUGGGUGCGGGACUUGAUCGAGAUGGGAGGAGCCUCUGUGGAACUGUCCAUAAUGUCACCUGCAAAGGCAGGGCUAGGGGCUUAGGCUUAGUGAGGGGAAGAAAAACAUGGCUAUUCCCACUCUUCUGCCAGGGAGAGCAAACCCCUUGGGGUCUAUCUCCUCCCCAAAAAUGUACUGCCCUAGACCAGGGUCCCACUUACCAUCCGAGCCAGCCUUCUUGAUCUCUCCAUCUUUGCUCUGUAGGAAAUAGGGAAGUUAAGUUUGAUCCUGUCCCACCCUCGUGCUAGCCUUGUCCUUUUAUUCAUUCUUGUUAUAACCGCCACUAAAUGCCCACCGUGGGCUGGGCAAGAACAUGGCAAACCCAGUCCUGGUCCUCUUGGAGCUCAGUCUGUGAUGGUGGACAGUUAACACACAGAAGCAUAUGCAAGCACAGACACAGAAAGUAAUUUCUUAAUUCUGUGAUUCACUUUCUAUACCUUAAUGUUUCUAAAUUCAAGCUGAGUUUCACUUCAUUUGUGUUUCUUAUUUUCCUGAAGUUAUUAAAGGGAUAGUCCAUAGGGUGGUGGUUCUUAUUAGGAACUGCGAUCAGAGAGUGGCAUUAGCAGGGGGGCCAUGGAAGAGAGUGAAGGAAGGCCCACAGGGAAAUACAGGGAUGGAUGAAGAGGGACCUGGUGUAGCCCAUGGGUGGGGAUGAGAGGCUGGAAGUGGGGCAGGGAGGAGUUCCAGACAGAGGAACCUGUGUAGAGGCUCUGAGAUGAACCGGGGUUGAGAGCAGUGAGGUGAAAGCAGUGACCAGGGCUGAGACCCCACUGGGCCUUGAGGCAGGAUCAGGAGUUAGGGCAAUGUCUUGAGGGAGGAAGCCCCUGGAGGAUUUGCUAUUUCAAAUGCAGAUGGCAAAGCCAGAUGUCUGUUAGACCAUCCACUUCAAGGAGGAGGUAUCAGUGGCCUGGGUCAGGGUAGAAGCCAAGAGAGAAGAAAGGUUGACUCUGAUGACUUUUAUGGGGAGGGGAAAGAAUCGACAGACCUGUCAUGAGUCUCCUGGUCACAUAAAUCACCCACACAAAAGAAGCUACGUGUCACCUGCCUCCUCACUUCCCACGUGUGUCCCUUCCCAGCUCACUUGCUUCCUCUUGCCUUCGGCACUCCCGCUGCCUCUGCUCACGCCAAUCCUCUGCAGCAUCACUUGUACUCGCUGUUCAAAGGUUGGGGCCAGCUCUGUGUCUCCCCGCUCCAGGGGCUGCUGCUGGGGACAGAGAUACCUGAGUGGGGAGAGAGCCCACUGCCCUCACUGUUCCUGCAGAGCCUUCACUCCCUGUCACCAGGCCUCACCUUGUCAGGUCUGGCACCCAACGUUGUCUCCUCCUCCUCAGCAGGUAGCAGUAUCAUGGAGUAGGCCUUGCUUUCCCGAGUGUACCGAGGCCGACUCCUGCGGGUAGGGUCGGGGCUGCUGGUGCCCCCCUCAGCCCCCCCAGCCUCCUCACCACGGCCAGGACGGGCUGGUGGCCGAAGCAAGUCCCCAAGUGUGGUUUUUCGAGAGCGGGGAGCUGCCCCAGGGCUGGUCUCUAGAUCAGGCCGUGACGCACGUGUUGAACGAGGCUUCUUGAAGGCAAAGAGAGUGCCCAGCUUCUUUCGAAGUGUACGGGGGACAGGGGUGG
RNA transcript from Globicephala melas (long-finned pilot whale), 5907 nucleotides. It is a transcript of the gene named ACD shelterin complex subunit and telomerase recruitment factor, with no coding region annotated. NCBI's taxonomy places the organism in Eukaryota, Metazoa, Chordata, Mammalia, Artiodactyla, Delphinidae. The record is from RefSeq and is a predicted model, not a curated record.